GACCUUAACAGGAAGCAGACCUUCCACAGCCCUAGAGUUUGAAAACUUGUAAAUGUAUUGCGCACGAUCCCGCUUUAAAUCAAGAUUUCUUUCAUACUUGCACAUCUUUCCCUUUUUGGCAUAGACUUGUAACGAUAGGGGACGACCCCAUCGGACAACAAAAACAAACCCCAAUGUGGGUAAGGUCGAAGGCCCGAUUAUUUGUAGACCGGAUGGGGAGAGAGGCCAUACAGCGCCCAUAUGUNCCCCCACAGCCAUGAUUAGGGACAGAAGGAGAACCUCGCCCUAACAUGAGCAAGGUCGAAGGCCCGAUUAUUUGUAGACCAGAUGG
This 331-nucleotide long non-coding RNA is filed under the name Elaeis guineensis (African oil palm). RNAcentral describes it as "long non-coding RNA (EGUI_LNC056251)". The record is from RNAcentral. Lineage: Eukaryota; Viridiplantae; Streptophyta; Magnoliopsida; Arecales; Arecaceae.